Molecule: non-coding RNA, 148 nt
Organism: Gorilla gorilla gorilla (western lowland gorilla)
Lineage: Eukaryota; Metazoa; Chordata; Mammalia; Primates; Hominidae
Rfam family: Metazoan signal recognition particle RNA
About the family: The signal recognition particle (SRP) is a universally conserved ribonucleoprotein. It is involved in the co-translational targeting of proteins to membranes.
Source: Rfam
GCUGGGCAUGGUGGCACGUGCCUGUAGUCCCAGCUACUUGGGAGGCUGAGGCAGGAGGAUCACUCAAACCCAGGAGGCCGAGGUUGCAGUGAGCCGAGAUUGUGUCACUGCACUCCAGCCUGGGCAACAGAGUGAGACUCUGUCUCAA